This 390-nucleotide ribosomal RNA is filed under the name uncultured bacterium. RNAcentral's name for it is "bacterial SSU rRNA". It matches the Rfam family "Bacterial small subunit ribosomal RNA", at positions 49 to 484 of the family's 1533-position model. The record is from RNAcentral.
UAAUAACAUGCAAGUCGAACGAGACCUUCGGGUCUAGUGGCGCACGGGUGCGUAACGCGUGGGAAUCUGCCCUUGGGUUCGGAAUAACUUCGGGAAACUGAAGCUAAUACCGGAUGAUGACGAAAGUCCAAAGAUUUAUCGCCCAGGGAUGAGCCCGCGUAGGAUUAGCUAGUUGGUGGGGUAAAGGCUCACCAAGGCAACGAUCCUUAGCUGGUCUGAGAGGAUGAUCAGCCACACUGGGACUGAGACACGGCCCAGACUCCUACGGGAGGCAGCAGUAGGGAAUAUUGGACAAUGGGCGAAAGCCUGAUCCNGCAAUGCCGCGUGAGUGAUGAAGGCCUUAGGGUUGUAAAGCUCUUUUACCCGAGAUGAUAAUGACAGUAUCGGGAG